UAAACAUGUAGAUUUUAUUAUAAAAAUAAUAAUAAAUAGGAAGAUGUGAAAAACAAAAAUAAGUAUAUGCCUUUCAUUUACAAAAGAAAUAUUUAUAAAAUUCGUCAAGAUUGUAAUAAACCAGAAUGUAUCCAAAAGGUUAUACAAUAAUCUAAAAUCUCAAAAAACGUGGUGCCAUCUUGUUGAAACGUUUUCGAUGAUCAACUAGAGACGAAAUAGCAGUUGUUGAAACUCGGAUCAACUGUGACGAGCAUCGCGGUGCCACCAAAAUCGCAGGUACCUCCAGCGACCUUUGUCUUCUGCCAAUAACUAUUAAAAGCAUAGGAAGCGUGUGAUACCAAAUUAUCUGGCUGGAAGCAAGGUCCAUUGGGCUGAAUUGCCCUGCAGUCUGCUCCUGACCCACACGCAUAGUCCAAUGCUUCUUGAAUUAUUGGAUCAGGCAUAGUAGGCUUUGCCACACACCACACGGCAAAUUGUGUCAUUUUAUGAGGCGGUGGUGGCAUUACAACAAUCGAUGGUGGAUGAACUGCUGGUGAUUGAUCGAUUGGUGGGCUAGGCCCAUGAUAAUGUGGGCUAGGAGCGAUACUUGGUGGGUUAAGUUCAUAUUGUGGUGGUCUCAGGAUUGGCGUGUACAUGGGCGGGCUAGCAGAUUCGUCUGGUGGGCUUUUGAUCGGAAAAUUAGGGGAUGAAGGAGACGACACCAUAGAAGAUGGUAGUGAUUCUAAAGGCGGAAGAGCAUAUGGAGAACCCAAGCCAUAUGCCUCAACAUCUUUUGGUUCUAAUGGUCCGUUCAUUCCUUGUUCAGCAAAUAACCUUGCAUCAGUUAGAAGGAAGAUGCUGGCUAUAAUGACUAUGCAUACAAAUAAAAUGCUGAAUUUCAAGUGCCCAAGUCUUAGAUCCAUUUGAUGAAAUGCUCAAGAACUCUCUUAAGUCACCAGUAGUCGUGGAUUUUCUGCUAUGGAAGCAAACACAAGGAAAUAUAAAUAAGCUCCAUAGUAGGGUCCAUCCAUGGUGGAUAAAAAAUAAUGAAGCAAAAGUGGCUCACUUUAUAUGGUGA
RNAcentral lists this unclassified non-coding RNA (1057 nucleotides) under Hevea brasiliensis (rubber tree). The record is from RNAcentral. Lineage: Eukaryota; Viridiplantae; Streptophyta; Magnoliopsida; Malpighiales; Euphorbiaceae.